RNAcentral lists this non-coding RNA (30 nucleotides) under Homo sapiens (human). Lineage: Eukaryota; Metazoa; Chordata; Mammalia; Primates; Hominidae. The record is from RNAcentral.
UCUUAGCAAAAAGGGAAAUGGUGUUUCAAA